RNAcentral lists this long non-coding RNA (279 nucleotides) under Meleagris gallopavo (turkey). RNAcentral describes it as "lncRNA (ENSMGAG00000017688.1)". The record is from RNAcentral. Lineage: Eukaryota; Metazoa; Chordata; Aves; Galliformes; Phasianidae.
UGCUUGAGUAUUCCUGGCACGGGUCUGGCUGUAUGGGAGCAUGAAGGCUUUUGAUUAGGUAAACAUCUCUCACAUUGGGAACAUCCGCACCUGAUUCAGAGGCUGAAAGACCAGCCUGACAUUUCUGGCAGACAGAAAGGGAGCUGUUCCCAGGACAAGCAGGUGAUUUUUCCCAGUCUGCAGCACUUAACUGUGGCACUGCUCCCUGCCAGCUGCAAGUGAUAGCAUCAGAAUUAAGUGCUAAAGAAUGCGGAGAAGUUGAAUUGUGACACUUAAGUA